CCGUUUGGUACGCGGAGGACAUUACCGAGUUUACAACUCCCAAACCCAAUGUGAACGUUACCAAACUGUUGCCUCGGCGGGGUCACGCCCCGGGUGCGUAAAAGCCCCGGAACCAGGCGCCCGCCGGAGGAACCAACCAAACUCUUUCUGUAGUCCCCUCGCGGACGUAUUUCUUACAGCUCUGAGCAAAAAUUCAAAAUGAAUCAAAACUUUCAACAACGGAUCUCUUGGUUCUGGCAUCGAUGAAGAACGCAGCGAAAUGCGAUAAGUAAUGUGAAUUGCAGAAUUCAGUGAAUCAUCGAAUCUUUGAACGCACAUUGCGCCCGCCAGUAUUCUGGCGGGCAUGCCUGUCCGAGCGUCAUUUCAACCCUCGAACCCCUCCGGGGGAUCGGCGUUGGGGAUCGGGACCCCUCACCGGGUGCCGGCCCUGAAAUACAGUGGCGGUCUCGCCGCAGCCUCUCCUGCGCAGUAGUUUGCACAACUCGCACCGGGAGCGCGGCGCGUCCACGUCCGUAAAACACCCAACUUCUGAAAUGUUGACCUCGGAUCAGGUAGGAAUACCCGCUGAACUUAAGCAUAUAA
RNAcentral lists this ribosomal RNA (582 nucleotides) under Trichoderma hamatum. Its description in RNAcentral is "eukaryotic LSU rRNA". The stretch from base 208 to 361 matches the Rfam family "5.8S ribosomal RNA". Lineage: Eukaryota; Fungi; Ascomycota; Sordariomycetes; Hypocreales; Hypocreaceae. The record is from RNAcentral.